GGUAGGGGGGGGGGGGGGGGGGGGGGGGGGGGGGGGGGCUUUUUCUAUCUAUCAAGAGCGAAAAGAGCAAAAAAAGUAAUAGAGGAGAGUGUGUUACCAGCACAAUCAAAGUGACGGUAACCAAUUUUGAUGGCGUUAAAGAUAAGAUCUUUUAUAUCUUUGCCUUCCAUUCGCCAAACACCGAGUCCGAUUAUCGGCAUCUUGAAGCCGCUGUUGAGUGUAAUCGCCAUUUCUGCGAUUUUUCACUUUUCUUUUGGGACUUGCUUUGGUUGAUUGCUUGGAACUUGUAUAUCUGUAAUAAUUGAGAUUUAGCUUCGACUUAUAUUGAUGGGCCGAACUGAACUUACAGGCUCCAAAAGAGUGAAGUGCAUCAGUAGCCACUUUUAAGCCUACUAUUUAAAAAAUAAUCAUAAUUUAUAAUAUAUUUAAAAAUUAAUCAGCUCACCCAAACUUCAAGACUAAAUACCCUGAAUUUCUGAAUUGCUAAUUUGAAAUUAAAGACUUUGUAUCCUAAGUUUUUGAGCUACUAAUUUAAAAUUCAGGACUAAAUAUCCUAAAAUUUAUGAACUACUAAUUUAAAAUUUAGGACAUAAGAUUCGAAUUUCUGAACACAAUUUUUGAACUUUAGGACACGGAGUCCUAAAGUUUGAAUGAAUUGACUAAUCUUUAAAUAUAUUAUAAAAUGUGAAUAUAUUUAAAUAGUAUACUUAAAAGUGGCUACCUGGUGUCAUUUCCACGUGUUUAUAGACCAUGUUGGCCCAAUUAGUCCAAUUCUUCCCACAUCAAGUCCGAAUGCGAAAGUAAAUAGAAUGAAUUAAGCUCUUUCUUGGACGAUCACCUGGAUCUUGGUCAGCCACCAAAAGAUUCAAAUUGAAAAGAAGCCCGUUUGAAA
This 892-nucleotide long non-coding RNA is filed under the name Nicotiana tabacum (common tobacco). RNAcentral describes it as "long non-coding RNA (NTAB_LNC009352)". The record is from RNAcentral. Lineage: Eukaryota; Viridiplantae; Streptophyta; Magnoliopsida; Solanales; Solanaceae.